UUAUCAAAAGUCAUAGACAUGAUUUUGGGCCUAAGAUUAUAUGCAUCAAUAGCUUGCAUUAAAUGAUGAGAAAUAUUAAGACCGGUGUGGGGGUAUUCAAGCAUUUUAAAAUAGAUAAUGCGUUUUUGUAAUAACCAAUCACUAUCCAACCAAUGAAAAGUCACACACAAAUAGUGAUAUCCGUAACCACUAUCCUAUGCAUCAGCGGUCAAAGAAACUCUACAAGUAAGAUUACUCAACUCAUCAUAUAACUUCAAUUUAUACUCUUGAAAAUAUUUCAUGGCAACCGAACGGACAGUUUUUCUAGAGAUUUUUUUGUGUUGGGGUUGUAGUACUCGGUUAAUGUAAUUGUUAAAGGGAUCAUUUUCGACAAAAAGAAAGGGUUGUUUGGCAUGUACUAACAUUCUCCCAAACUCAUCCCUAUCUCUCUGAUAAUUGUAAAUGUAGCCAUGUGGAUGGAAUUGAGAAAUUUUUGGUUGGGUUGGAUCACUAGAUGGUUCACCACAUUUUUUUACAUGUCCAGUAAGGUGUCCCGUCCCUCCCUUGGUUUCGGCCGAGUAAAUUUUCUUACAUGUCUUACACUUGGCUUUGGUUCCAUCUCUACUUAAUUGAAAACACUAGUAGAAAAAAGUAAAUGGGAAGCCUCAAAUGGGGAGCGGUUAUUGAAAUUCCGCUUCCAAAAACACCCAAGAAAAAAAAAAAAAAACUGAAACAAGCAAAUGAGGAGCGGUUUAGGGUGAACCGCUUCCAAAAUUGUAAUGGGAAGCGGUUUCCAUUCUUUAAAAAAAAAACCCUAACAAACAAACUACCCCUCAGCCUCACGCCUCUUUUCUCCUCCUCUCUCCUCUCUCAGAAUUCUCAUGCCUCUUUCUCCCUAUAUCUUCUCUAUCCUCCCUCCAUUUCUUACUCUCCUGAUCUCCUCUCUCAAGCCUCCCCUUAUUUUCAUCCUCUCCUCUCUCAAGCUUAUCACCGCCAUUUUCGAGCAAAAAAACGAAUCAAAAACCCCUCAUUUUCGAGCAAAAAAACGAAUAAAAAACCCGAGAUUAUUCGAAGGUGGUGGUGCGUAUGGGUGGUGGUGUUUGGUGGAUGGAUUUAUUUUAUUAUUCGACCAUGGAGUUGUAGUUUUUAGAUGCGAGGUGGCGUCGGUUGCGGUGGUGGGCUGGUGGCGUCGGUUGUGGUGGUGGGCUGGUGGCAUCGAUUGCGGUGGUGGCAGAAUAGGGUGGUGUUGACUUUAGUUGUAUUUUUUUUGGUGUUGAAUUAUAAUGUAAUAUUACAACUAAUUAUUAAUGGAAAUAUAUAUUUUUAUA
Molecule: long non-coding RNA, 1307 nt
Organism: Chenopodium quinoa (quinoa)
Lineage: Eukaryota; Viridiplantae; Streptophyta; Magnoliopsida; Caryophyllales; Amaranthaceae
Exons: 2
Source: RefSeq, a predicted model, not a curated record